GUCGGAGUGGUGGAACUGGCAGACACGCUAGAUUCAGGAUCUAGUGAGGCAACUUGUAGGGGUUCAAAUCCCCUCUCCGACA
This 82-nucleotide transfer RNA is filed under the name Spirochaetota bacterium. Its description in RNAcentral is "Spirochaetes bacterium (wastewater metagenome) tRNA-Leu". It matches the Rfam family "tRNA". From Rfam's summary of the family: Transfer RNA (tRNA) molecules are approximately 80 nucleotides in length. Lineage: Bacteria; Pseudomonadati; Spirochaetota. RNAcentral also lists the same sequence under 1 other name. The record is from RNAcentral.